Molecule: ribosomal RNA, 465 nt
Filed under: uncultured bacterium
Lineage: Bacteria
Description: bacterial SSU rRNA
Rfam family: Bacterial small subunit ribosomal RNA
Source: RNAcentral
AACGAACGCUGGCGGCAGGCUUAACACAUGCAAGUCGAACGCUCGUAGCAAUACGGGAGUGGCGGACGGGUGAGUAACGCGUGGGAACGUGCCCUGAGGUACGGAAUAACUGCGGGAAACUGCAGCUAAUACCGUAUGAGCCCCGCAAGGGGGGAAAGAUUUAUCGCCUUGGGAGCGGCCCGCGUCGGAUUAGCUAGUUGGUGGGGUAACGGCCUACCAAGGCUUCGAUCCGUAGCUGGUCUGAGAGGACGAUCAGCCACACUGGGACUGAGACACGGCCCAGACUCCUACGGGAGGCAGCAGUGGGGAAUCUUGCGCAAUGGGGGCAACCCUGACGCAGCCAUGCCGCGUGAAUGAUGAAGGCCUUAGGGUUGUAAAGUUCUUUUGCCCGUGACGAUGAUGACGGUAACGGGAGAAUAAGCUCCGGCUAACUUCGUGCCAGCAGCCGCGGUAAGGUCGUCAUGU